CACUUUUGCUAUACCAAGCUGAAAACACCUGAUCUCCUCUAAACUUGGAAGCUAAGCAGACCAGGACCAGGGCCUGUGAGUAGCUGGAUGGGAAAAAUCACCUGAAAACAGGCAAAAGUCC
This 121-nucleotide ribosomal RNA is filed under the name Calidris pugnax (ruff). Lineage: Eukaryota; Metazoa; Chordata; Aves; Charadriiformes; Scolopacidae. The record is from RNAcentral.